Non-coding RNA from Paramuricea clavata, 158 nucleotides. Lineage: Eukaryota; Metazoa; Cnidaria; Anthozoa; Malacalcyonacea; Plexauridae. The record is from the annotation of a GenBank genome assembly.
GCAACAAAAUAGCUGCAACUGGCAACAAAAUCUGAUUUCUACGCAUGUUAAACAGAAAUGUUGACACAUGUUGCCUCGUGAUUUGUAAUAUAUGUUAAACAUUUUCAAUUAACAUGCGUAGAAAUCAGAUUUUGUUGCAAGUUGCAGCAAUUUUGUUG